RNAcentral lists this ribosomal RNA (238 nucleotides) under uncultured bacterium. RNAcentral's name for it is "partial 16S ribosomal RNA". It matches the Rfam family "Bacterial small subunit ribosomal RNA", at positions 103 to 334 of the family's 1533-position model. The record is from RNAcentral.
CGGGUGAGUAAUACAUAAGUAACCUGCCCUAGACAGGGGGAUAACUAUUGGAAACGAUAGCUAAGACCGCAUAGGUACGGACACUGCAUGGUGACCGUAUUAAAAGUGCCUCAAAGCACUGGUAGAGGAUGGACUUAUGGCGCAUUAGCUGGUUGGCGGGGUAACGGCCCACCAAGGCGACGAUCAGUAGCCGGCCUGAGAGGGUGAACGGCCACAUUGGGACUGAGACACGGCCCAA